AAAGAGAAGCGACCUCGCGAGAGCAAGCGGACCUCAUAAAGUGCGUCGUAGUCCGGAUUGGAGUCUGCAACUCGACUCCAUGAAGUCGGAAUCGCUAGUAAUCGUGGAUCAGAAUGCCACGGUGAAUACGUUCCCGGGCCUUGUACACACCGCCCGUCACACCAUGGGAGUGGGUUGCAAAAGAAGUAGGUAGCUUAACCUUCGGGAGGGCGCUUACCACUUUGUGAUUCAUGACUGGGGUGAAGUCGUAACAAGGUAACCGUAGGGGAACCUGC
Molecule: ribosomal RNA, 275 nt
Filed under: Salmonella enterica
Lineage: Bacteria; Pseudomonadati; Pseudomonadota; Gammaproteobacteria; Enterobacterales; Enterobacteriaceae
Description: partial 16S ribosomal RNA
Rfam family: Bacterial small subunit ribosomal RNA
Source: RNAcentral